UCCUUUUCUUCCCGGCCUCGACUCCCCCCUCUCUCUGGCGAGGACAACACUACAUGUCGCGGCCGCGGCUGUAGCCAUGCAGGACCACGUGUCGGCCUACAUGCACCGGAGCGGCGAGCAGCAAGCGGCGCCGUCGUCCUGCGACCUCGCCGCCGUCGACGACGUCCCGGCCAACGGCCACAAGCCCGGCAAGGCCGUCACCGCCUCCGUCUACCGCGCCAAGAUAGCCGGCCACUCGCGGGUCGUCACCGUGUCCUGGUCCCGGGACCUCCUCUCGCACGCCUUCGCCGUCGCCAUCUCGGGGGCCGACGGCGCCGCCGCGGAGUGCAGGAUCGAGCUCCGGCCGUGGCAGUUCUGGCGGCGCGCCGGGUCGCGCCGCGUCGAGCUCGGCGGCGGCGCGUCCACGGCCCCAGCCACGGUGCGCGUGCUCUGGGACCUCCGCCGCGCGCGGUUCGGGGCCGGGAUCCCGGAGCCCCGGGGCGGGUACUACGUCGCCCUGGAGGCCGCGGGCGAGGUGGUCCUGGUCCAGGGCGACAUGCGCCGGGACGCGCUCCGGCGCGCGGCGUGCGCGCCCGCGGAGGCCGAGGCCGUGCCCGUGGCGCGGCGGGAGCACGUGUUCGGCCGGCGGCGGUUCGCGGCCAAGGCGCGGUUCCACGACCAGGGCGACGUGCACGACAUCGCCAUCGAGUGCGGCGGCGGCGGCGAGGGCGGGGACGCCGACAUGGAGAUGACCAUCGCCAUCGACGGCGAGGAGGCGGUGCAGGUGAAGCACCUGCAGUGGAAGUUCCGGGGCAACCAGUCCGUCACCUUCAGCCGGGCCAAGGUGGAGGUCUACUGGGACGUGCACGACUGGCUCUUCAGCGCCGGCACGCGGCCGGCGCUCUUCAUCUUCCGCCCGAUCGUGCUGUCCAGCGCGUCGGCGCCGGCGGGGAUGGCGUCGGGGCUGCUCGACGCGACGGUGGCCACCACCGGCUUCUGCUUGUACCUCUACGCGUGGAAGCUCGACUGAGCCAGCUAACGACAUUGCAUUGCUAGCUGGGUCUCUGCUGCAAGCUACCAUGUUGUUGAUGAGACUGUCUCUGUCAGCGAAAAUGCCUGUGAACUAAAGUUGAUGAAGGAGGAUUGGAGGAAGAGAUCUUACUGCCAGCACUGCAUGAUUAGGGAGAUGAUAUGAGAGAGAGACAGGUGGUCUGCAAGACUGGAGUGCAAUGUGUUGGGUGGGAGGCACAUGGGAGGAUGAGACGACAGGGAGUGGGUUCCAGUGCUGUGGUGUGCUGCAGCAGGCAGCAGCACUUGUGGUGGACGACUGACCUGACUCAGCCUCGCUCGCUGAUCCAAGAAAAUAAAAGAAGUUAUAUAUAUACAUGUUGCCACCGCAAAAGGUGACAG
RNA transcript from Panicum hallii, 1389 nucleotides. RefSeq lists it as uncharacterized. The transcript has 2 exons. The record is from RefSeq and is a predicted model, not a curated record. NCBI's taxonomy places the organism in Eukaryota, Viridiplantae, Streptophyta, Magnoliopsida, Poales, Poaceae.